GAGAGAAUGCAAGCUGUCCGGGGCAGCUGGACCAGGUAGCCAUCUUGAUUCUGUGUGUGAUGCGCCACUGACUGGCUCCUGCCCAGGCUGACAGAACCGGUAAAUGAGGUCCCCCAUACAGGUUUCAGAGGCUGACAUCAUCUUUUCAAAGAGCACUCUCUGGUGUGGAAGCCCACAGAGACCUGCCUUGCUGCUUGUGAUGAAGGAAGAGGAGCUUGAGGCCAGAGCACAGAGGACACCUGCUCCCAGCUGUGCACAUGGUCACCAAGCUGUCACCAAGCUUCUCAUGCCCCCCACUCCCACCUGUGCCCCAGCAGGCAUGGCGUGCACUGACACUUGGUUGGGGGAAAGGAUUUCCUGCUUCUGGAGCACUGGGAGCUCAUUGAAGUCGCCCACUGCCAUCUCUCCCAGUCUUGCAUCUCCAUGGCUCUGAUGAUGCAAAGCACCAGCAAGAAGCAGCAGCCAGCUCGAGCCACCACUGUCCAUGGCUCUGUGACUCCUGCUAUGAAGUGCCCUGAGAACAGCCGUCCUUACAGCCCCGGCACCGUUCUCUUUAAUAACAGACCUCAGAAACACACAAGAUUUCCCUGAGAGGAGGGUCCCCACAAGGAAGUGCUGGAUGGUAAAGGUCAAAAUCUUGAUCAGGGGCCAAGAAAGUUGGGGCUUCUCUAGAGGGGCUGCGUAAGAGAUGUGUUUUACUUCCUGGUUUUUAAAUAAUAAGAGUAUUUCUUCGUCUCUUAAACAUU
Long non-coding RNA from Mus musculus (house mouse), 746 nucleotides. RefSeq annotates it as RIKEN cDNA A530010L16 gene. NCBI's taxonomy places the organism in Eukaryota, Metazoa, Chordata, Mammalia, Rodentia, Muridae. The record is from RefSeq and is marked validated. The transcript has 3 exons.